RNAcentral lists this ribosomal RNA (253 nucleotides) under uncultured bacterium. RNAcentral describes it as "partial 16S ribosomal RNA". It matches the Rfam family "Bacterial small subunit ribosomal RNA", at positions 524 to 776 of the family's 1533-position model. The record is from RNAcentral.
UACGGGGGGGGCAAGCGUUGUUCGGAAUUACUGGGCGUAAAGGGCUCGUAGGUGGCCAACUAAGUCGGACGUGAAAUCCCUCGGCUUAACCGGGGAACUGCGUCCGAUACUGGUUGGCUUGAGUUUGGGAGAGGGAUGCGGAAUUCCAGGUGUAGCGGUGAAAUGCGUAGAUAUCAGGAGGAACACCGGUGGCGAAGGCGGCUACCUGGACAGAAACUGACGCUGAGGCGCGAAAGCUAGGGGAGCAAACAGG